GAGGGUAGAGCUCAGUGGUAGAGCAUAUGCUUAGCAUGCACGAGGUCCUGGGUUCAAUCCCCAGUGCCUCUG
This 72-nucleotide transfer RNA is filed under the name Camelus bactrianus (Bactrian camel). It matches the Rfam family "tRNA". From Rfam's summary of the family: Transfer RNA (tRNA) molecules are approximately 80 nucleotides in length. Their secondary structure includes four short double-helical elements and three loops (D, anti-codon, and T loops). Further hydrogen bonds mediate the characteristic L-shaped molecular structure. tRNAs have two regions of fundamental functional importance: the anti-codon, which is responsible for specific mRNA codon recognition, and the 3' end, to which the tRNAs corresponding amino acid is attached (by aminoacyl-tRNA synthetases). tRNAs cope with the degeneracy of the genetic code in two manners: having more than one tRNA (with a specific anti-codon) for a particular amino acid; and 'wobble' base-pairing, i.e. permitting non-standard base-pairing at the 3rd anti-codon position. Lineage: Eukaryota; Metazoa; Chordata; Mammalia; Artiodactyla; Camelidae. RNAcentral also lists the same sequence under 2 other names. The record is from Rfam by way of RNAcentral.